Molecule: long non-coding RNA, 596 nt
Filed under: Ovis aries (sheep)
Lineage: Eukaryota; Metazoa; Chordata; Mammalia; Artiodactyla; Bovidae
Description: lncRNA (ENSOARG00000025659.1)
Source: RNAcentral
AUGAUGGAAUGUGGGAGCCCCUGGGUAGCCAGGUUCAAUCAAACACAGCCUGGCAGGGAGUGGGUGUGGACAAACACAGCUGUGUUUAGACCGCACCGAUGUCUUCGUCUAUUUUCCCAACAUUUGUGCUUUGAAAACAGCUUUCUGCUUGAAAUGCAGCCACUCUUGUGCUCAGAGCUCAUGUGUGUGGUAGGAAAAAGUUUUUCCGUUUCUAUUUCUGAGAUUCUCAGGAAUUGGCUUUCUUGUACUCUUAAAGCAAUGUUUUUUUUUUUUUUCUCCUCCUGGCAACACCCAUUUUUUUUUUUUUUUUCCUCCUCCUGGCAACACCCGUUUUCUCUGGUUUCAAACUGCUCUAUUCUGGAAGAGAUAAUCGUGGAAAAUCUUCUGACCCAUUUGCUUGCAAAUGCUUUUCUUUGGGUGACUAAAAGUGAAGAGCUCCUUUCCUGUUGUCAUGAAGGCUGCUGUCUAGUUGAGUUGCUUCUCGAGCAAGAACAGUCAGUGUCAUUAAUUUUUUCUCCGUACUGUGUGGGCUGUGGAACACGAAACCGACUUGAUUGAUCACAUUGCCACUUCAAAACAGGAGUCUUCGGAGGCAG